GUUCUAUUAGACACACAGACUAGUCCUGAUUCACGGAAGGGGACUACCCAAGGGGAUGAAUUCCAGGAGAAGAAUGAAUACCGUAACCAGCUGACGGGAUUGUUGGGAGGGCUUAAAUGAGUUAGUAUGCGCACAGCGCAGGCAUACCACCUGGCCCAAGACCCCCCAACACCUUGUGUUGAAAGUUCCACCUGACGCAACUGCAACCGCAUGCUGACAAAUGAGCAAAUCAAUCAAACCAGAUGGGAGACCCUCCAGGCGACCACCACGGGCUGCCUCACCCAGCACUUUUGCUUCGACUUCCUUUUGGGUAGUAGUUGAGAGGGUGUCUGAAUCAAAGUCAGCAGCAAGCUCUGCGCGCAGUGUCCCCUCGUGCAGUGGCCGGCCCGCUCCCUGUGAACAUGCUCUCUGUCCCGUGUCUGCUGUGCUCCUGGGGACGAAGAGCUGGCCGUCGUCCACUCGUUCUGCGUGUGCACUGGCGCAGGCCAUCUAAUCAGCGUUCCACCGGAAGGCGGCUCUGUGGCCCUGCAGUUGGGUGACACUGUUGCUUUCUGAAAACUGUAAAUCGGAGGAAACAGAAAUUGCUGGCGAAUGAAACCUUUUGUGUCCUUUUUUUCUUAUUAGCACUUGAAAUUGGGUUUUCUCCAAUAUAUUUUACAUUCUGCAAGCUCAAG
Molecule: long non-coding RNA, 674 nt
Organism: Suricata suricatta (meerkat)
Lineage: Eukaryota; Metazoa; Chordata; Mammalia; Carnivora; Herpestidae
Exons: 5
Source: RefSeq, a predicted model, not a curated record